GUAUAAGAGACAGCAGCCGCCGCGGUAAUACGUAGGGUGCAAGCGUUAAUCGGAAUUACUGGGCGUAAAGCGUGCGCAGGCGGUUAUAUAAGACAGAUGUGAAAUCCCCGGGCUCAACCUGGGAACUGCAUUUGUGACUGUAUAGCUAGAGUACGGCAGAGGGGGAUGGAAUUCCGCGUGUAGCAGUGAAAUGCGUAGAUAUGCGGAGGAACACCGAUGGCGAAGGCAAUCCCCUGGGCCUGUACUGACGCUCAUGCACGAAAGCGUGGGGAGCAAACAGGAUUAGAUACCCCAGUAGUCCCUGUCUCUUAUAC
This 314-nucleotide ribosomal RNA is filed under the name uncultured bacterium. Its description in RNAcentral is "partial 16S ribosomal RNA". It matches the Rfam family "Bacterial small subunit ribosomal RNA", at positions 499 to 807 of the family's 1533-position model. The record is from RNAcentral.